This 807-nucleotide non-coding RNA is filed under the name Neuroperla schedingi. The record is from RNAcentral. Lineage: Eukaryota; Metazoa; Arthropoda; Insecta; Plecoptera; Eustheniidae.
UUAAAGUUUUAUUCUUGCUUGAUGAUUUAUUUAAAUCUUGUUUUACAUGUAAGUUUUUGCGUGAUGUAGUUAAUUAUUCUUGAGGGGUUGUUGAUGUUGUUUGAUUCGCAGUAUUUAAUUUUAUUAAUCAAGGAGUCUUGGAAUUAGUAAUUGUUUAUAGUACCGGCAAAAGUCGUGCCAGCUGCCGCGGUUACACGGAGGGUACAAGUAAAUAUUUUUAGUUUGUAGUUGUAAGAAGUUCUGGUUUUGAGGAAUGAAAAUUGAUUUUGUUAAGUGGAAUUUUAAAAUUGAAUUAUUUCUUUAUGGGUUUAUUAGAAGCUGUGAAAAUUAAGAUUUAAACUAGGAUUAGAUACCCUAUUAUUUUAAUUGUAAAUAAGUAUGAGGCUUGAGUAGUAGUAGAUAUGUUCUUGAAACUCAAAGAAUUUGGCGGUGUUUUAGUCCUUUCAGAGGAACCUGUCCCAUAAUCGAUAGUCCACGUUUUACCUUACUUAAUUUUGUAGUUCAGCUUGUAUACCGCCGUCGUCAGAAUGUCCUUUGAGGGUUAAAAUUUUCUUAAUUUUGAAUUAGAAGUGAUGUCAGGUCAAGGUGCAGUUUAUAAUUAAGGGGAGAUGGGUUACAAUAAAUUUAUUUAUUACGUAUGAUGAAAUGAAAUAAUAUUUGUUUUAAGGUGGAUUUGAUUGUAAUUAGUUUAAUUAAAUUAAUUUGAUUUUGGCUCUAAAACAUGCACACAUCGCCCGUCGCUCUCGUUAUUUAAGGCGAGAUAAGUCGUAACAUAGUAGGUGUACCGGAAGGUGUACCUGGAAAGUU